Molecule: unclassified non-coding RNA, 370 nt
Filed under: fungal sp.
Lineage: Eukaryota; Fungi
Description: partial internal transcribed spacer region
Source: RNAcentral
AAGUCGUAACAAGGUUUCCGUCGGAAGGAUCAUGAACUCGUAUCCAACGUUAAACCCCCCUGUGAACCUUCAGAAAACUCUUGCAUACCGUACGGAACAGCAAUCUGGUAAAUCAGUGGCGAAAGUCGUUUUUGACUCAGGACCUCUGUCCAGGACCGCAGUGGGUCUGGAUACCAGGCCGGAUGAAAGUGUCGCUGUACGGGUUCGAGGUUAACAUUACGAUCGCUAGAGGCUCACCACGGGCCGGCGGACAGACCUGCAGGGCCUCGAGUCCCCUUCCUGACGACCAGCUUAAACCGGGCCUCGUCACAGCAAGUGCGCCGUGAUGGAGGAAAACGUACAACUGUUAACAAUUGAUGUCUUGGUUCUC